AAGAUCAGUAAAUUCCAUGAAUAGGUGCCAAUGCUACACUUCCUUAGCUAGGAGCUAGCAAUGCUACGUGGAAUUGCAUGUCGAAAAUAUUUAAAAAGUCAACCUGCCAUCUCUCCUGCCCUGCUCGUCCAAGUUCCCACUCUAGUUCCAGUACUGGCAGGCUUCACCACUAUAUCCCAGCAGGGUCCUGCUUGGCAUGUUCUCCCAGGUAUCUUCUGAGAGGUUGUUCUCUCUCCACUUCUCAUUCAAGUCUGAAGAUGCUUACAGUCACCUGCAGUACUUCUAAAUCAGAGUUUUGAGAUGGAAGAGGUCACAGCUCCAAUGAUCUCAGCCGAAGAAGAUGAGGAAGAAGACCAGCACAAGUGGUAAGAAUCAGAGUCUCUCUCAAAUCAGCUUUUGCUGGUAUCAGGAUUUCUCUGGAGGACUCAACAAAGUCCUCUCCAUGCCUGAGAUUCCUACAAUGAUUGAAAUUCCAUUGUUUCUUCCCCGUGGCAUCCAGCCCACUGUACGCUGUGGCAUUUGGACAGGUUCUUGCCUCGAGUUCCUGCUCUGCCUUCAUUUCACUAUACCUAGAAGCUGAAAUAAACUAUUUCCUCCACAA
Molecule: long non-coding RNA, 601 nt
Filed under: Mus musculus (house mouse)
Lineage: Eukaryota; Metazoa; Chordata; Mammalia; Rodentia; Muridae
Description: predicted gene 12519
Source: RNAcentral